CGAACUGCGAUAAGUGAUGUGAAUUGCAGACGUACACGAAUCAUCGAACCCUUGAACGCAUUCUGCGCCUCGAAGUUUGUCUUCGAGGCAUAUCUGGGUGAGUGUCGGUUUAACCUUCUUGCAUAAUAUUUUUUAUGCAUAUUUGGUAGUAAAUCGACUAGGUCAAUUUUCUAUUAAAAUAGAUUGAUAGCUAGAUUUAGAGAAUUUUGCUUUUAGGCAACCCUUCUAGAUGUAUACAGAAGUAACUGUGUUACCUUCUCGUAUCUACAAGGCCUGUCUCUACUAAAAAUUCUCCUAAUCAAAGGUCACUUGAUUUCUUUUUUAACAAAGAAUUCCAAACCUUCGACCUCACCUAGGUAAGACUACCCGCUGAAGUUAAGC
RNAcentral lists this unclassified non-coding RNA (381 nucleotides) under plant metagenome. RNAcentral describes it as "partial contains 5.8S ribosomal RNA, internal transcribed spacer 2, and large subunit ribosomal RNA". The stretch from base 1 to 107 matches the Rfam family "5.8S ribosomal RNA", at positions 49 to 154 of the family's 154-position model. The record is from RNAcentral.